RNAcentral lists this long non-coding RNA (1038 nucleotides) under Pavo cristatus (Indian peafowl). RNAcentral's name for it is "lncRNA (ENSPSTG00000006291.1)". Lineage: Eukaryota; Metazoa; Chordata; Aves; Galliformes; Phasianidae. The record is from RNAcentral.
AUGGCUUUCGGCUCGGUAGAUCCAGCCCGGCCCCGCAGGACAGAAAGUUCAGCGGGCGGACACUUCCCGUGCAGAAGCGGGGCUCUCCCGGCCCCGAAGGGUGACCCGUCUCUUCUUUGUCAGCCGCUCGGCGCGGGCAUCAUCCGGCCGGCCGGCUCGGGUUUAAAGAGGGGUCGAAGGGGAGGGAGCGAGGCGGGGAGAGAUCCGUUGCCGCCGCCGCUUCAAAUCGCGGCCGGAGCGCCGGCUCCCUGGCUGUGGCUGGCAACGCAGGAGCGCGCGGGUCCGUCUCUCCCUCGGCGGACUCGGCCCGAGUCCCUCAGACGCUCAGUCCCUCGCGGCCGCCGACAUCCCGGCUUCCGAACCGCCUCGGCUCCUCCCCGCCAACCUGGCCAUCCGCUCGCCCGGUCCCGCUGGCUGCGCCGUCACCGGGCGGCCCCCAGCCGCCCCGCUCCCCUCGGGCGGCGCAGCCCCGGCAGCCCGGAGCCCUGCCCGAGCGGCGGCCCGGCGCGCUGUGACAGCGGGCGCCCGGGCAGGGCGGGAGGCGCCGAGGGACCGCGGGGCCUAUGGACGCACCGCCCGGCGGCGGGCAGGCGGCUCCCGCUAGGCGGCACGGGUCCAGGGCCCCGGCAUCGCUCCUCCACCCCUUUCCGCCGGCGUUCGCUCGCCUUCCUUCGUCAGCGCCGCUUCGGUUUGUCGCGCGCUGCUUUCCUAACGCACGGGCGCGUGAACCGUCUGCAGGAUGAAGGCAGGGCUACGUACGGCUGGAAGGAUGCUCGGGAGCGGGGCGGGGAGCUCGGGGGGAACGGAACCAAAACAAACCAGGGGCGAAAAAAAACGCCGCACACCUUAGGCGGGGAGGGGAAGGCAGCCCCUAACAGUUGUCAACAGCUCUGGGUCUGCGCCGUUUCUCUGCCAUAUGGCCUGAUCUCCAACGGAGGAGCCGAGGGCUUUAGCUCAGCGGCUUCACGUGAGACGUAUCCUCGGCAUCAGCAGAUAUGUAUUCAGACAUCUUUUUCUCUUCUUUUUUUUUCUCCUUAA